UAAAGGUCCUCGUACCACAGGAUGUAUGGG
Molecule: non-coding RNA, 30 nt
Filed under: Mus musculus (house mouse)
Lineage: Eukaryota; Metazoa; Chordata; Mammalia; Rodentia; Muridae
Source: RNAcentral